UGGGGAAUUUUCCGCAAUGGGCGGAAGCCUGACGGAGCAAUGCCGCGUGGAGGUGGAAGGCCUACGGGUCGUCAACUUCUUUUCUCGGAGAAGAAACAAUGACGGUAUCUGAGGAAUAAGCAUCGGCUAACUCUGUGCUAG
This 141-nucleotide ribosomal RNA is filed under the name uncultured bacterium. RNAcentral's name for it is "partial 16S rRNA". It matches the Rfam family "Bacterial small subunit ribosomal RNA", at positions 355 to 511 of the family's 1533-position model. The record is from RNAcentral.